This 24-nucleotide non-coding RNA is filed under the name Arabidopsis thaliana (thale cress). Lineage: Eukaryota; Viridiplantae; Streptophyta; Magnoliopsida; Brassicales; Brassicaceae. The record is from RNAcentral.
ACACGAAAGGGUAUUGUUGCAAAA